GUCUCCUCGGCCGGCGGGGACUCAGCUCAGCGCGCCGCCGCCGCCGGCUCAGCGGAUUUUGUUUUUGCACUGAAUGUAGCCUGGAUUGAUCCUCACGGGCUUCAGGAGCCCAGGGAUACUAUCAAAGGCCGUAUUUGUGUGUUUCUGCAGAGUUUUGCACAGAUUCUGUUCCCAUGCAAACCGAUGAGGGAGAAAUAUUGGAAGAAAGCUGCUCGGAGGUGGGACAUGAAGAUUUGGUAAUGGAAGGGCAUGGCAAGACUCCGCCUCCUGGUGAAGAAAGCCAACAGUGAGUCAUGGUUUAUUCUGUAAAAGAGUCUUGUGACACAUUUUUGAAAUGCUAUUGUUAAAUCUG
This 352-nucleotide long non-coding RNA is filed under the name Vombatus ursinus (common wombat). Its description in RNAcentral is "lncRNA (ENSVURG00010002787.1)". The record is from RNAcentral. Lineage: Eukaryota; Metazoa; Chordata; Mammalia; Diprotodontia; Vombatidae.